CCUACGGGAGGCAGCAGUGAGGAAUAUUGGUCAAUGGUCGGGAGACUGAACCAGCCAAGCCGCGUGAGGGAUGAAGGUACAGAGUAUCGUAAACCUCUUUUGUCAGGGAACAAAGGCGGGGACGUGUCCCCGGAUGAGUGUACCCGAAGAAAAAGCAUCGGCUAACUCCGUGCCAGCAGCCGCGGUAAUACGGAGGAUGCGAGCGUUAUCCGGAUUUAUUGGGUUUAAAGGGUGCGCAGGCGGUCUGUAAAGUCAGCGGUCAAAGCCAGGGGCUCAACCGCGGCCCGCCGUUGAAACUGGCAGUCUUGAGUUGGAGAGAAGUAUGCGGAAUGCGUGGUGUAGCGGUGAAAUGCAUAGAUAUCGCGCAGAACUCCGAUUGCGAAGGCAGCAUGCCGGCUCCACACUGACGCUGAGGCACGAAAGCGUGGGUAUCGAACAGGAUUAGAUACCCUUGUAGUC
Molecule: ribosomal RNA, 459 nt
Filed under: uncultured bacterium
Lineage: Bacteria
Description: partial 16S ribosomal RNA
Rfam family: Bacterial small subunit ribosomal RNA
Source: RNAcentral